This 465-nucleotide ribosomal RNA is filed under the name uncultured bacterium. Its description in RNAcentral is "partial 16S ribosomal RNA". It matches the Rfam family "Bacterial small subunit ribosomal RNA", at positions 338 to 795 of the family's 1533-position model. The record is from RNAcentral.
CCUACGGGUGGCAGCAGUAGGGAAUUUUCGUCAAUGGGCGCAAGCCUGAACGAGCGAUGCCGCGUGAGUGAAGAAGGCCUUCGGGUCGUAAAGCUCUGUUGCGGGGGAAAAAAGGCAGCAUCAGGAAAUGGGUGCUGACUGAUGGUGCCCCGCCAGAAAGUCACGGCUAACUACGUCCCAGCAGCCGCGGUAAUACGUAGGUGGCGAGCGUUAUCCGGAAUGGUUGGGCGUAAAGGGUGCGCAGGCGGUCCUGCAAGUCUGGAGUGAAACGUAUGAGCUCAACUCAUGCAUGGCUUUGGAAACUGGAUGACUGGAGAGCAGGAGAGGGCGGUGGAACGCGAUGUGUAGCGGUAAAAUGCGUAGAUAUAUGGAAGAACACCAGUGGCGAAGGCGGCCGCCCGGCCUGUUGCUGACGCUGAGGCACGAAAGCGUGGGGAGCAAAUAGGAUUAGAUACCCGUGUAGUC